RNAcentral lists this transfer RNA (116 nucleotides) under Daphnia pulex (common water flea). It matches the Rfam family "tRNA". From Rfam's summary of the family: Transfer RNA (tRNA) molecules are approximately 80 nucleotides in length. Their secondary structure includes four short double-helical elements and three loops (D, anti-codon, and T loops). The record is from Rfam by way of RNAcentral. Lineage: Eukaryota; Metazoa; Arthropoda; Branchiopoda; Diplostraca; Daphniidae.
GUCAGGAUGGCCGAGCGGUCUAAGGCGCCAGACUCAAGGACAUAAUCGCUUCAAUAAAAUAAGUUGCAGUAUUCUGGUCUUCAAUGAAGGCGUGGGUUCAAAUCCCACUCCUGACA